This 128-nucleotide ribosomal RNA is filed under the name uncultured eukaryote. RNAcentral describes it as "partial small subunit ribosomal RNA". It matches the Rfam family "Eukaryotic small subunit ribosomal RNA", at positions 1651 to 1773 of the family's 1831-position model. The record is from RNAcentral.
CCCUGCCAUUUGUACACACCGCCCGUCGCUGCCCGGAACUGGGUUAAUUCGAGAAGAUUGAGGAUUGUUUGUUAUUGAAUAUUUCGGUAUUCAAUCAACAGAUGAAAAUCAAUUUGAUCGCAUUGGCU